CCUACGGGAGGCAGCAGUGGGGAAUAUUGGACAAUGGGGGCAACCCUGAUCCAGCCAUGCCGCGUGUGUGAAGAAGGCCCUCGGGUUGUAAAGCACUUUCAGUGAGGAAGAACGCCUGGUGGUUAAUACCCAUCAGGAAAGACAUCACUCACAGAAGAAGCACCGGCUAACUCCGUGCCAGCAGCCGCGGUAAUACGGAGGGUGCGAGCGUUAAUCGGAAUUACUGGGCGUAAAGCGCGCGUAGGUGGCUUGAUAAGCCGGUUGUGAAAGCCCCGGGCUCAACCUGGGAACGGCGUCCGGAACUGUCAAGCUAGAGUGCAGGAGAGGAAGGUAGAAUUCCCGGUGUAGCGGUGAAAUGCGUAGAGAUCGGGAGGAAUACCAGUGGCGAAGGCGGCCUUCUGGACUGACACUGACACUGAGGUGCGAAAGCGUGGGUAGCAAACAGGAUUAGAUACCCCAGUAGUC
This 465-nucleotide ribosomal RNA is filed under the name Vreelandella stevensii. RNAcentral's name for it is "partial 16S ribosomal RNA". It matches the Rfam family "Bacterial small subunit ribosomal RNA", at positions 338 to 795 of the family's 1533-position model. The record is from RNAcentral. Lineage: Bacteria; Pseudomonadati; Pseudomonadota; Gammaproteobacteria; Oceanospirillales; Halomonadaceae.